AAAAAUUGGAAGAGUAAGCACCCAGGCGGAUAUCCAUUUCUACAAGGCACCCAAUCUUAUAAAAUUUGUUCCAGUUUCCCUUACCUUCAUUAACAGGGAAAACUUCACAGAUUUGAAAGCGUAUCAAUUUGAAGGGAACAAACAAGCAACCGGACUAAGGAUGCUAGGUCAGCAAAAUCAAAAUGCUACCGAUACGCUAAAACAUUAUAUUGAUUGAACUCCACUCCUAAAAAGCUGUCCAACAUGAUGCAUUUACCACUUUCUUCCCUGUACGCCUCUGUUGUCUGUGCACACCACACCAGCUCCAAAGCCCAACCUUAUAUUUCUCUACGAGCUGGCUUCCUGCUCAGCAUCAUCGUGGAUCUCA
RNAcentral lists this unclassified non-coding RNA (367 nucleotides) under Hevea brasiliensis (rubber tree). Lineage: Eukaryota; Viridiplantae; Streptophyta; Magnoliopsida; Malpighiales; Euphorbiaceae. The record is from RNAcentral.